AAUCAACGCUGGCGGCGUGCCUAACACAUGCAAGUCGAACGCGAGAGGGGCUUCGGCCCUGAUUGAGUGGCAAACGGGUGAGUAACGCGUGGGUGACCUACCUUCGAGUGGGGGAUAACGUUCCGAAAGGGACGCUAAUACCGCAUAACAUCCUGUCUUUGGACAGAUGGAGAUCAAAGCCGGGGAUCGUAAGACCUGGCGCUUGAGGAGGGGCCCGCGUCCGAUUAGCUAGUUGGGGGUAAUGGCUCACCAAGGCAACGAUCGGUAGCCGGCCUGAGAGGGCGGACGGCCACACUGGGACUGAGACAC
This 309-nucleotide ribosomal RNA is filed under the name uncultured bacterium. RNAcentral describes it as "bacterial SSU rRNA". It matches the Rfam family "Bacterial small subunit ribosomal RNA", at positions 32 to 327 of the family's 1533-position model. The record is from RNAcentral.